This is a non-coding RNA of Danio rerio (zebrafish), 54 nucleotides long. The record is from Rfam. NCBI's taxonomy places the organism in Eukaryota, Metazoa, Chordata, Actinopteri, Cypriniformes, Danionidae.
CUUGUCCUCAUUUGUAAGUCGCUUUGGAUAAAAGCGUCUGCUAAGUGACAAUGU